Molecule: long non-coding RNA, 1153 nt
Organism: Nicotiana tabacum (common tobacco)
Lineage: Eukaryota; Viridiplantae; Streptophyta; Magnoliopsida; Solanales; Solanaceae
Source: RefSeq, a predicted model, not a curated record
AUAUAAUAUUUAUUUGGCCCAAAUCAGUCUGAUAGUCAAGAGGCUAAUUUCUUGCCUCCACCAUAUGUCUUCCAAGGCCGAUGUAUCAUACACUUGUCGGCACCUCCUUUAUCUCUCUCAUCCUAAGAUCUAAUGGUGUGGUGUAUUCACUAAGAAACAUUAGGGAAAUAUGGCUCUUAUUACUAACUACAACGAUGACCACGAUUGGAGAUGGUUCGAAAGGUUCCUCGUGAUGUAGACUCGGUGCAUCGUUCGAUCAAAUAAACUGCCUUUUCCCAAGAAGUGGAACCCAAACCCAUAACCUGAUCUCAUCAAAGGCUCUAAAGAGGGUCCAGGCGGACAAGUCCAAGUUUAACGGGGUCGUCGAGGCCAACAGAGAGUUGAAGGCCGAGGUCGAAGGAUUGAAGUUCGAAGUUACAUGACGUAAAGCUGAAAAGGAAGCCUUGAUAUUGAGGAACAAGGGUGCUGAACAAAGCUCAAAACUAAAGCAAAAAGAGCUUCUAGGCUGGGAGUUAAUGUUUUCAUGCGACCUUAACAAAUCCAAAGAGAAAAUCCGAUCUCUUCAAGAUGAAAUGGCCGAUAAAGAAGAGAUUUAACUUCAAUUGACAAUAUAACAUUCCUGUAUUGAGGACAGAGAAAAGGAAUUAGAAGUCGCCCUUGCUUUUUUGGAUGAACUUACUCGACUAGUGGUGCUGAAAAAGCUGCCCUGAAAGAGGCUUAUGAUAAGUUAGCUCACUAACUCGGAGAGGUGGGGGGAAGAGUGAACUUGAUCGAAUUGGGUUGCUUUAGAGACUCGCUUAAACACUCUUCAUGAAGUCCAUGUUGGGAAGACAAACAUAGAGAAGUAGAUCAUGGACCUUGAAGUCGAGACGAAAGAAAUUGGGGCACUCCUAGGUUAUUCAUCCUCUGACGGAUGCGAGUAUAGUCUUGAUGUAGGUGAGGAUGAAUCAUAAUACUUAGACAAGAAUAAUGAAGAAAAGGAAAUUUUGACACCUUUGCCUCCCCCAACCACUUGACUCCCUGAUGUUUCUUCAUCCUCCGGAUCCUUUGAUCUUGAUUCUGACAAUAUUUCUUGAAUAUUGUACUUUAUAUAUCUUAAUUUUAGAAUUAUUAUAGUAAAAUUUCGACAAUAUUUUACUCAAAAGUUUUUGUG